AUGCACGCUGGCGGCGUGCCUAAUACAUGCAAGUCGAGCGAACAGACGAGGAGCUUGCUCCUCUGGCGUUAGCGGCGGACGGGUGAGUAACACGUGGAUAACCUACCUAUAAGACUGGGAUAACUUCGGGAAACCGGAGCUAAUACCGGAUAAUAUAUUGAACCGCAUGGUUCAAUAGUGAAAGACGGUUUUGCUGUCACUUAUAGAUGGAUCCGCGCCGCAUUAGCUAGUUGGUAAGGUAACGGCUUACCAAGGCAACGAUGCGUAGCCGACCUGAGAGGGUGAUCGGCCACACUGGAACUGAGACACGGUCCAGACUCCUACGGGAGGCAGCAGUAGGGAAUCUUCCGCAAUGGGCGAAAGCCUGACGGAGCAACGCCGCGUGAGUGAUGAAGGUCUUCGGAUCGUAAAACUCUGUUAUUAGGGAAGAACAAAUGUGUAAGUAACUAUGCACGUCUUGACGGUACCUAAUCAGAAAGCCACGGCUAACUACGUG
This 496-nucleotide ribosomal RNA is filed under the name uncultured bacterium. Its description in RNAcentral is "partial 16S ribosomal RNA". It matches the Rfam family "Bacterial small subunit ribosomal RNA", at positions 29 to 507 of the family's 1533-position model. The record is from RNAcentral.